This 468-nucleotide ribosomal RNA is filed under the name uncultured bacterium. Its description in RNAcentral is "partial 16S ribosomal RNA". It matches the Rfam family "Bacterial small subunit ribosomal RNA", at positions 28 to 507 of the family's 1533-position model. The record is from RNAcentral.
GACGAACGCUGGCGGCGUGCUUAACACAUGCAAGUCGAACGGAAAGGCCCUGCUUUUGUGGGGUGCUCGAGUGGCGAACGGGUGAGUAACAAGUGAGUAACCUGCCCCUGCCUUUGGGAUAACUUCAGGAAACUGGGUCUAAUACCGGAUAGGAGCUCCUGCUGCAUGGUGGGGGUUGGAAAGAUUCGGCGGUUGGGGAUGGACUCGCGGCUUAUCAGCUUGUUGGUGGGGUAGUGGCUUACCAAGGCUUUGACGGGUAGCCGGCCUGAGAGGGUGACCGGCCACCUUGCGCCUGCGGUACGGCCCAGACUGCUACGGGCGGCAGCAGGGGGGAAUCUUGCGGAAUGGGCGGAAGCCUGAUGCAGCAGCGCCGCGUGCGGGAUGACGGCCUUCGGGUUGUAAACCGCUUUCGCCUGUGAUGAAGCGUGAGUGACGGUAAUGGGUAAGGAAGCACCGGCUAACUACGUG